Molecule: ribosomal RNA, 216 nt
Filed under: Glomeromycotina sp.
Lineage: Eukaryota; Fungi; Glomeromycota
Description: partial small subunit ribosomal RNA
Rfam family: Eukaryotic small subunit ribosomal RNA (bases 44-216)
Source: RNAcentral
GGGUCAGUAGGUUGGUCGUGCCACCGGUACGUACUGGUCACACUGAUUCCUCCUUCCUGAAGAACCGUAAUGCCAUUAAUUUGGUGUUGCGGGGAAACAGGGCUGUUACUUUGAAAAAAUUAGAGUGUUUAAAGCAAGCUAACGCUUGAAUACAUUAGCAUGGAAUAAUGAAAUAGGACGAUCGAUCCUAUUUUGUUGGUUUCUAGGAUUGACGUA